RNAcentral lists this ribosomal RNA (442 nucleotides) under Bacillus sp. (in: firmicutes). RNAcentral's name for it is "bacterial SSU rRNA". It matches the Rfam family "Bacterial small subunit ribosomal RNA", at positions 334 to 772 of the family's 1533-position model. The record is from RNAcentral. Lineage: Bacteria; Bacillati; Bacillota; Bacilli; Caryophanales; Bacillaceae.
UACUCCUACGGGAGGCAGCAGUAGGGAAUCUUCCGCAAUGGACGAAAGUCUGACGGAGCAACGCCGCGUGAGUGAUGAAGGUUUUCGGAUCGUAAAGCUCUGUUGUUAGGGAAGAACAAGUGCAAGAGUAACUGCUUGCACCUUGACGGUACCUAACCAGAAAGCCACGGCUAACUACGUGCCAGCAGCCGCGGUAAUACGUAGGUGGCAAGCGUUGUCCGGAAUUAUUGGGCGUAAAGGGCUCGCAGGCGGUUUCUUAAGUCUGAUGUGAAAGCCCCCGGCUCAACCGGGGAGGGUCAUUGGAAACUGGGAAACUUGAGUGCAGAAGAGGAGAGUGGAAUUCCACGUGUAGCGGUGAAAUGCGUAGAGAUGUGGAGGAACACCAGUGGCGAAGGCGACUCUCUGGUCUGUAACUGACGCUGAGAGCGAAGCUUAAACCCUA